AAGAAAUGAAAAAUGCUCACGUGUCAUAAUUUUAAAUAUAUAGUGUGUAUGUAUAUACAUAUAUGACAGUCCGAAUAUAAAUAUAAUACAAAAAAAAAAAAUGUACAUAAACAAAUAUAAAAAAAAAAAUAAAAUAAUAAAAUAAAUAACAGAAUAUACAGAACAAAAAAAUGGUAAACAUAUGUUUUUAUAAAAACUAAUACAUGACUUAAUGUUAUAAAACAAAAAAAUAAAACAAAAAAAAAUUAUCCUAAAUAUCCAAUUAAUUAUUAUUUUAGCUGUUCUUGAAAAAUAAGAUAUAAAAAUAAAAAUGCAUGCGUAAGUACACGCAUGUAUAUAUGUACAUAUACAUUAAAAAAAAUCCAAAUAAGACAUAAAACAAAAUUAAAAUAAAGAACAAAAAUAAACAAAAAAAAAAAGUAAAAUCCUUUUUAAUAUUUAAUGUUAAACAAUCAAAUACGUAACAUAAAAAAUAAAAUAAAAAAACAAAAAUUAACAUAAGAAUAUAUUUCUAAAAAUCAAAACACUUAUUAAAAGCGAGCGAGCUUAUUUUCCAAAAAAAUUAUAAAUUUUUUUUUAUAAAAAAAAUGGGAAAAACUGAAAAUAUAAAAUAUGAAAAAAAUGUAUGUUAUUACAAUAAUGAAAAUGAUACAAUCGAUAACCUAAAAGAAAAAAAUAAAAGUGAAACAAAUUUAGCAAUAACCAACACAACAGCUUUAAAUGACGAAAAUUGUUUCACAAAAAAUCAAGAAAUGUUUGGAAUAAAAUUAUAUGACAAUGAUAUUCAAUAUACUGAUAGUAUGGAACAAAUUGUGCAUAAAAUUAUAAAUAAAAAAAAUGUUGAGUUUUAUAAACGAUACUCUUCUUUCUUAGUAUACUUAGAUAAAGAAACGAUACAAAACGAUCCAGACGAAUAUUCUAAUGAAAAAAAUGACUCUACUAGAGAUAUGCAAACAUGUACUGACAGUAUGCAAACAUGUACUGACAGUAUACAAGUACGUACUGACAGUAUGCAAAUACGUACUGACACUAUAGAAAUACAUACAGGUGCAUCAAACAAUAGCAAUGAUGUGCACGCAAUAAAAGAACUUAACGAAUCUAGUAAUGAUAAUAAAAAAGUUUUUUUUAAAAUUCAAAUUGAUUAUUCACAUAUGAGUAUUUUUUAUAACGUAAUUAAUAAAGAAGUGAUAGAAAAACUUUUAUUACUUUGUGUUAAUAAAUAUAAACAAAGUAAAACCGCAAUUGGACGUACAUCUGAUAAACAAGAAAAUUAUAAAGUAAAAAAAUCAACAAAUAGAACUAGUUCAAGCGUUUUUGUAUAUACUAUUAGAGAAACAUCCAAAGUAGACUCAACUCAGUUAGAUGAUGAAAGUUCAAUUGUGUAUACAAAAGAUAAAAGUAUAAUUGAAUUCGAAAACACUAUAUGUAAUUUAGUAAAAAUACCAUUAUGUUAUUUAGAACCAUUAGCAAUAGUCAAAUAUGAAAAAAAUAAUUAUUUUAAUUUACAUCAUGAUGGUUCGUUCAGAAGAGCUACAUUUUUAAUUUAUUUGAAUGAUGUUGAUAAAGAUGGAGAAACUGAAUUUCCAUAUUAUAAUUUAUCCAUUAAACCUAUACAAGGGUCAGGGAUUUUCUGGUAUAACAUUAUACCUUUAGAAGAAAAAUAUGCCAUUACUUACUGUCAGAAUAGAGUCAAUGAAAUUGAUAAAGAUGAAGAAAAAAAUAAUAAUAAAAACGAACAUAAAGUGAGUGGUCAACUCUUAAAUAGUGAUAAUACCACUAGUAGUGAUACCAAUAGCGAUAGUAAUAACUAUUGUAAUCAAUCAAAUGGUAACACUGUUAACCUCACUACAAAUAAUACAAAUACAAUUAAUACUACUUCUGAUUUAUAUAAUUUUAUUAACAAUAAAUUAAAUUUGGAAAAAUAUUCGAUUAGUGUUGUAAAGGAUGAAUUUGAUAAUAUGUACAUUUCUGAUACAACUAUGGUACAUAAAGCGAAUAAAGUUACUGAUGAGUAUAAAUAUGUUAUUA
RNAcentral lists this long non-coding RNA (2028 nucleotides) under Piliocolobus tephrosceles (Ugandan red Colobus). RNAcentral's name for it is "lncRNA (ENSPTEG00000002262.1)". The record is from RNAcentral. Lineage: Eukaryota; Metazoa; Chordata; Mammalia; Primates; Cercopithecidae.